Long non-coding RNA from Cynara cardunculus var. scolymus (artichoke), 659 nucleotides. RefSeq lists it as uncharacterized. The record is from RefSeq and is a predicted model, not a curated record. The transcript is spliced from 2 exons. NCBI's taxonomy places the organism in Eukaryota, Viridiplantae, Streptophyta, Magnoliopsida, Asterales, Asteraceae.
GAAGAUGAGUUGUUUAUCAUUCACUAUGAAGAUGAGUCAUGACUCCUCUUUUCUUCCCUCAAACUCGAUUGCACUUGAAGUUGUUGAUGAUGAUGAAGUGGUCAACCGUCCACUGGAAUCUGGUGAGCACCCAAUCUGAGUCGGUUUUGAUCCCAAUGAGUGAUUGGAAAUCGAAAAUGUUGAAGGAGGCGAUAAUUCUUACCUUGAAGGAGUAUAAUUUCUCUCCGAGUUAGGGCAUAGAGACUAAUCCUGAUGAAAUCCCCCAAUCAUAAGGAUCAUAAGCUAUUGAAGAUUUGAAGUCGUACUGGCGAGGUUACAAAUGCUUCAAAAUUGUACUCAUCUCCCAGAGGAUGAAACAACAAGCUUUCUUUAUACACAUUUGAGGAGAAGGUUAAGAUUAACCAAAGCAAUGGACAGAGGUACUGUUUAGGUUAACUUCUAGAUUGCAUCUAAGCUUCUUUUAAAUCUAUUAUUUUCCAUGUUUGUUAUUAUUAGCUUGAAUGAAUGUGGUACUUGAUGGGAAUCUGUGAUUAAGCUCGUGAAGCAAAUCCAACUUUGAAAAUAUGUUCCUUUGAGUGUUACAGUAGGACAGUAGGUAUCUGGUCUAUCUUGGCCUUUGUUCGUAUUAUCUUUGUGUAUAUUCGAUCCAUUUCCUUUCU